GAGGGUGUAGCUCAGUGGUAGAGUGCAUGCCUAGCAUGCACAAGGUCCUAGGUUCAAUCCUCAGUAUCUCCA
This 72-nucleotide transfer RNA is filed under the name Camelus bactrianus (Bactrian camel). It matches the Rfam family "tRNA". Rfam says of the family: Transfer RNA (tRNA) molecules are approximately 80 nucleotides in length. Their secondary structure includes four short double-helical elements and three loops (D, anti-codon, and T loops). Lineage: Eukaryota; Metazoa; Chordata; Mammalia; Artiodactyla; Camelidae. RNAcentral also lists the same sequence under 1 other name. The record is from Rfam by way of RNAcentral.